AUGGGGUGCAGCAGGCGCGAACACUUUACAAUGCGGGAAACCGCGAUAAGGGAACCCCGAGUGCCAGUACUAAGUGCUGGCUGUCUAGAUGAAUAGAUAUCAUUUAAUAGCAAGGGCCGGGCAAGACCGGCGCCAGCCGCCGCGGUAACACCGGCGGCCCGAGUGGUAACCGAUAUUAUUGGGUCUAAAGGGUCCGUAGCCUGUUUAAUAAGUCCUUUGGGAAAUCUGGCAGCUUAACUGUCAGGCUGCUAAAGGAUACUGUUAAACUUGGGACCGGUAGACGUAGGGGGUACUCCAGGGGUAGGAGUGAAAUCUUGUAAUCCCUGGGGGACCAUCUGUGGCGAAGGCGCCCUACGAGAACGGGUCCGACGGUGGGGGACGAAAGCUAGGGGAGCAAACCGGAUUAGAUACCCGGGUAGUCCUAGCUGUAAACGAUGCUCGCUAGGUGUCAGGCACGGUGCGUCCGUGUCUGGUGCCGCAGGGAAGCCGUUAAGCGAGCCACCUGGGGAGUACGGUCGCAAGGCUGAAACUUAAAGGAAUUGGCGGGGGAGCACUACAACGGGUGGAGCCUGCGGUUUAAUUGGAUUCAACGCCGGAAAACUCACCGGGAGCGACAGCAAUAUGUAGGUCAGGCUGAAGGUCUUACCUGAAUCGCUGAGAGGAGGUGCAUGGCCGUCGUCAGUUCGUACUGUGAAGCAUCCUGUUAAGUCAGGCAACGAGCGAGACCCGCGCCCACAGUUGCCAGCAUGUUCUUCGGAACGAUGGGACCACUGUGGGGACCGCCGCUGCUAAAGCGGAGGAAGGAACGGGCUACGGUAGGUCAGUAUGCCCCGAAUCUCCCGGGCUACACGCGGGCUACAAUGGUUAGGACAAUGGGUACCUACCUCGAAAGGGGAUGGAAAUCUCUAAACCUAAUCGUAGUUCGGAUUGAGGGCUGCAACUCGCCCUCAUGAAGCUGGAAAUCCGCAGUAAUCGCGUUUCACAUAGCGCGGUGAAUACGUUCCCUGCUCAUGCACACACCGACUCGUCGAUCAAUGCUGAGUGAGGAUCUGGGAUGGAGGGUCCGUGUCCUGUUUAUGGA
This 1081-nucleotide ribosomal RNA is filed under the name uncultured Methanosarcinales archaeon. RNAcentral's name for it is "bacterial SSU rRNA". It matches the Rfam family "Archaeal small subunit ribosomal RNA", at positions 325 to 1398 of the family's 1478-position model. Lineage: Archaea; Methanobacteriati; Methanobacteriota; Methanomicrobia; Methanosarcinales. The record is from RNAcentral.